UCGAGAAUCUUCCGCAAUGGACGCAAGUCUGACGGAGCGACGCCGCGUGAUGGAUGAAGUAGUUCGCUAUGUAAACAUCUUUUGUAAGCGAGAAAGUUUAUUGAUCAGCUUACGAAUAAAGGGUUGCUAAACUCGUGCCAGCAGCAGCGGUAAUACGAGUGCCCUAAGCGUUAUCCGGAAUUAUUGGGCGUAAAGGGUGUGUAGGCGGUUGUGUUAGUCUUUUGUUAAAUUCUUCGGCUUAACCGGGGGCAUGCGAAGGAAACGGCACAACUAGAGGAUGCGAGAGGUGAAUGGAACUCAUGGAGUAGGGGUGAAAUCCGUUGAUAUCAUGGGGAACACCAAAAGCGAAGGCAAUUCACUGGCGCACUCCUGACGCUGAGACACGAAAGCGUAGGUAGCG
This 400-nucleotide ribosomal RNA is filed under the name uncultured bacterium. RNAcentral's name for it is "bacterial SSU rRNA". It matches the Rfam family "Bacterial small subunit ribosomal RNA", at positions 355 to 770 of the family's 1533-position model. The record is from RNAcentral.